CGCUUUGAACAAUGGCGAAUUCAACCUAGCUGGAGCCGUUUGAGGCAGACAGUGUUAUAGCCCCAUACGAUUACUGGCCAUGCCUAAACCUCUCCAGUAAGUGCGUCGUCUCGGCUGUCGAUUCUAGUAAAGCAUACAAAAUGAAGGUCGCCUUAGUCACCGUCGCACUUGUGGUCGUCGUGUUUGUAAUUACAGAAGUGGAGCUCGCAAAACCAAAAAAGAAACCAGGAUUCAAGAUCGGAAAGCCUGGGUCUCGAGGUAGAGGUAGUCGAGGCAGACCAGCAGGGGUACCCAAGAAACCUCGCCCGAAGAAACUUAGACCUAGGGGACAGGGAAAGAUUACUAAACCGAACAAGCCUCCAACCUCAACUGCUGCAGGGACUGCGGGCGGUGCAACUGAAAGCGCAAUUUCGCCAGCAAUGGGUGGUGUGGGCGGUGGAAUGAAUGACAUGUCAAUGAUGGGAGGAAUGGGAGGAAUGGGAGGCAUGGGCGCCAUGGGAAUGGGAGGCAUGGGUGGAUACGGAAUGAUGGACCCUAUGGGAAUGGGAUACGGAAUGGGAGGCAUGGGUGGCAUGGGAGGCAUGGGAACCUUCGGCAAGGUCAUGAUGGGAACAACACUGGCAACUACCGUGGGAUCAUCACUUACUACGACCGGUACAAGCAUUGCGAGCACCGUCCUGGAACAUAAACGAAAUUCGGCUACUAACGCCGAGGACGACGCUGGUGGAGGCGGGAAAGAAAAAAAAGAAACGUUUACAGAUGGUACUGGUGCCGAUGAGAGCAGUUCCAAUGACGAUAGCAAGUCCAGUAAUAGCGCCAGUAACACCACUUCACCCAAAAGCAAUGGAAAGUCAGCGAAUGAAAAGAAAGCAUCACAUGGAGCCUCUUCGCCAGCCCCUGGACGAGCAGUUGCUGCAUAAAGCAUGACACAUGGAGGAGAAAAGAGCUAACCUGAAAGGGUGAACAGCUGCAAGAGAGCCAUUCAAGAUGGAGAGACAAAAGAAGGACAGGAAUGACAAAUAAAUGCGGUUAUAGAUGCUCAAUAUUCUGCUUGGCUAACAAUGCUAAAGCCUUCCUAAUAGCAGGUGUUUUACACGACCUGUAGUCUGCGCUAUUGUGCAGACUGCGAUUGCGGAUAACUAGCUGGCUAGCUAGUGCAUUGUUUCAUUUCGGCAUUCUAAAAAAGCAGAAAAUAAUGAAGGUCGCUCUAGUCAUCGUCGCACUGGUUGUGUGCUCCAUUAUAGUAACAGAAGCGGAACACGCUAAGGCGACAAGGAGACUAGGCUAUCGUGUUGGAAGAGGAGGCCCAGGAUUUCGGU
RNA transcript from Rhipicephalus sanguineus (brown dog tick), 1319 nucleotides. It is a transcript of the gene named spidroin-1, with no coding region annotated. The record is from RefSeq and is a predicted model, not a curated record. Lineage: Eukaryota; Metazoa; Arthropoda; Arachnida; Ixodida; Ixodidae. The transcript has 15 exons.